CUUCGGGGUGCCCAGGCGCGAAAACUUUGCAAUACACGAAAGUGUGACAGGGUCAUCCCGAGUGCCGACCGCUGAGGUUGGCUUUUACCCAGUCUAGAAAGCUGGGGGAAUAAGGAGAGGGCAAGUCUGGUGUCAGCCGCCGCGGUAAUACCAGCUCUCCGAGUGGUGUGGACGUUUAUUGGGCCUAAAGCAUCCGUAGCUGGCUGAACAAGUCCCCUGUUAAACCCACCGAUUUAAUCGUUGGUCUGCGGGGGAUACUGCUCGGCUAGGGGACGAGAGAGGCAGACGGUAUUCCCGGGGUAGGGGUGAAAUCCUAUAAUCCCGAGAAGACCACCAGUGGCGAAGGCUGUCUGCUAGAACGCGCCCGACGGUGAGGGAUGAAAGCUGGGGGAGCGAACCGGAUUAGAUACCCGGGUAGUCCCAGCUGUAAACGAUGCAGACUAGGUGUUUGGACGGCCACGUGCCGUUCUAGUGCCGCAGGGAAGCUGUUAAGUCUGCCGCCUGGGGAGUACGAUCGCAAGAUUGAAACUUAAAGGAAUUGGCGGGGGAGCAC
This 553-nucleotide ribosomal RNA is filed under the name uncultured archaeon. RNAcentral's name for it is "bacterial SSU rRNA". It matches the Rfam family "Archaeal small subunit ribosomal RNA", at positions 323 to 879 of the family's 1478-position model. The record is from RNAcentral.